UCAUCGUCACUGCAAAAGGAUCAUUAAUACCAGGGGGAAAGGAACCAAUAAAUUGAUCGGAUCCGAUAUGAAGUUCCCAGUAACGGAGAACCUCUAACCUGCUAACUUUGAGUGGCAUGGUCAGUCAACUGAUUAGUUGCAUGGCUGAUUACCAGUUUACUGGCGACCCAGUAAUUUUCCAUAUAACAGUGGCCUGUACCCUUGGGGUCUUCUUCUGACCGGCAAUCAUGUGAAAACCUUAGCAGUAAUGAAAGUGGAACGUCCAGUGGGCUGUGCUCAGCCACGUCCGAAUGGGGACGUUGAAUUCUUGCAACAACUCUUCGAGUGGACUGUAAGUAGCCUGGUAUUAGGCCAAUUUUCUGUCCUUCCUUUUUCAUAGGCAGUCGAAAUUUUCCGACCGUAUCACGGGCGGUCUCAAUUACAAGACCUACAUGUACCUAUCAUAUAUUAUUCGGUACGUCAGACACACCCGACAUUAAUCAACCAAAAACUCAAUAUUUUACAGUAGGGAAUGAAUAUCUCCCACGUUCUCUUGUCCCUUGAAGGAUCAAUAUUGAAUUUCUUCCAAUCGCCCCCCCCCCCC
Long non-coding RNA from Mytilus californianus (California mussel), 583 nucleotides. RefSeq lists it as uncharacterized. Lineage: Eukaryota; Metazoa; Mollusca; Bivalvia; Mytilida; Mytilidae. The transcript has 3 exons. The record is from RefSeq and is a predicted model, not a curated record.